RNAcentral lists this ribosomal RNA (443 nucleotides) under Reticunassa festiva. Its description in RNAcentral is "Nassarius festivus partial 12S ribosomal RNA". It matches the Rfam family "Microsporidia small subunit ribosomal RNA", at positions 644 to 1220 of the family's 1311-position model. Lineage: Eukaryota; Metazoa; Mollusca; Gastropoda; Neogastropoda; Nassariidae. The record is from RNAcentral.
UAAGCUUCAAACUGGGAUUAGAUACCCCACUAUUCUUGAUUGUAAAUAUAAUUAAAUUUACCAGAGUACUAAGAAUGUUUUAAAAAUUUAAAACUCAAAGGGCUUGGCGGUGUUUUAGACCUAUCAGGGGAACCUGUCUCGUAAUCGACAAUCCACGUUAUACCUAACCUUAUUUUGUAAUUCAGUUUGUAUACCGUCGUCGUCAGGUAACUUUUAAAAACAUAGAAGUUAGCGGUAAAAAUUUUGUAAAUUAAGACGUCAGAUCAAGGUGCAGCCUAUAAUAAGGAGAGGAUGGGUUACAAUUAUUAAAAUUAUAAUUACGGAAGUUUAAAUGAAAGCGUUUUCAGAAGGAGGACUUGAAAGUAAAAUUAAAAUAUCUAAAUAAAUUGAAUAAGGCUCUGAAACGUGCACACACCGCCCGUCACCCUCUGCAGUCAAAUAUA